CCUACGGGUGGCAGCAGUGAGGAAUAUUGGUCAAUGGGAGAGAUCCUGAACCAGCCAAGUCGCGUGAGGGAAGACGGCCCUAUGGGUUGUAAACCUCUUUUGUCGGAGAACAAAACCCGGGACGUGUCCCGUACUGCGUGUAUCCGAAGAAAAAGCAUCGGCUAACUCCGUGCCAGCAGCCGCGGUAAUACGGAGGAUGCGAGCGUUAUCCGGAUUUAUUGGGUUUAAAGGGUGCGUAGGCGGUCCGUUAAGUCAGCGGUAAAAUUUUGGGGCUCAACCCCGUCGAGCCGUUGAAACUGGCAGUCUUGAGUUGGCGAGAAGUACGCGGAAUGCGCGGUGUAGCGGUGAAAUGCAUAGAUAUCGCGCAGAACUCCGAUUGCGAAGGCAGCGUACCGGCGCCAGACUGACGCUGAGGCACGAAAGCGUGGGGAUCGAACAGGAUUAGAUACCCGGGUAGUC
Molecule: ribosomal RNA, 459 nt
Filed under: uncultured bacterium
Lineage: Bacteria
Description: partial 16S ribosomal RNA
Rfam family: Bacterial small subunit ribosomal RNA
Source: RNAcentral